UACGGGGGGGGCAAGCGUUGUUCGGAAUUACUGGGCGUAAAGGGCUCGUAGGCGGCCAACUAAGUCGGAUGUGAAAUCCCCAGGCUUAACCUGGGAACUGCAUCCGAUACUGGUUGGCUUGAAUCCGGGAGAGGGAUGCAGAAUUCCAGGUGUAGCGGUGAAAUGCGUAGAUAUCAUGAGGAAUACCAGAGGCGAAGGCGGCUACCUGGACAAUUGCUGACGCUCAGGCACGAAAGCGUGGGGAGCAAAAGGG
Molecule: ribosomal RNA, 253 nt
Filed under: uncultured bacterium
Lineage: Bacteria
Description: partial 16S ribosomal RNA
Rfam family: Bacterial small subunit ribosomal RNA
Source: RNAcentral